Molecule: long non-coding RNA, 1472 nt
Filed under: Chrysemys picta bellii (western painted turtle)
Lineage: Eukaryota; Metazoa; Chordata; Testudines; Emydidae
Description: lncRNA (ENSCPBG00000005588.1)
Source: RNAcentral
CUCUCGACCCCAGCGACCAGCGUUACCACACCGACCGUCGUCCGCCUGUCCUGUGUCUGCCUGGCCGGAGGUGCCCCUGAAAGGUGAACUGCAGAGUAGUUUUAACCAUGUAGGGCUGCGUGGCGGAGAAAGGGCCUGAAAGGUUUGGGUUUUUAAAAGGCCGCAUUUCGGCUUCUUUCUUCCCCCCUUAGGACUGUCAGCUCCCUGGUUUUUCCGGAGAACUCCUUGGGGAUCUCAGAGGUGUAGUGUCAUCGCCCAGGCUGAUGCAGGGACACGUGUGGAGCUCCAUUCUCCGAGGUGCUCGUUAGGACCACUCCUCCGCCAGCAGCUUGGCUUUUACAUGUACCCUGCAGCAGGUACUUCUGGGCAUCGCGCGGAAGGGAAAAGGGGCACAACCCCCGUUUUGUUUUCCUUUGCAGGUCCUCUUCCCCUGGCAGUGGUGAGCCCUGAGGCACCACACAGGAUAGUGUGACGUCCUUCUUGCUCUUCCCCAGCGACACCCCAGUCCUUCUUCAAUCUGUCUAGUUACCCGUAUGCCCCUGUCGCUACAGGGUCUGGGCUUCACAACCAACCCCCCUGAAAAGCAAGGCAGGAUUGUUACCCCCAUCUGACCCAUGGAGAACUAAGGCACAAAGAUGCUAUUACUUCCCCAGACUCACACAAGAAGUGCACGCCACGAAAGCUUAUGCUCCCAGUACUUCUGUUAGUCUCAAAGGUGCCACAGGACCCUCUGUUGCUUUUUACAGAUUCAGACUAACACGGCUACCCCUCUGAUACUUGGCAGAGCUAGGAAUAUGACCCAUCUCCUUUGAGUCCCAGUCCUGUGCCUUCACCCACCACAAGACCAAGCUUCCUCCCUGCCUCAUGUGGUAGUGAGUUCCACAGGUUAAUUAUGCACCCUAUAAAAAUUUCCUUUUAUUCCCUUUCAGUUUCAUUGGGGGUCCCCUCAUUCUUCUGUCACAGGAAAGUGUGAAUGGGAUUCACCUUCUCUGGACCAGUCGUUAUUUUGCGUAUCUCCAUCGCAUUCCCUCUCAUGUGACUCCUCUGUAAACAGGUCUAAUCAUACCAAUCCCUCUAGCCAUUUUCAUUGCCCAUCUUUGGAGUCCAUCUGCUUCGGCUCUUUUUUGCUCUCUCAUUACCCCCCCUAUGUUUUCUGUCACCUCUGAUGACCACCUUUUUCUCCUCCUUGAUAUUUAUUCUCAUCACCUGAAUCCUCAGGCCAGUGCCCCUUUGCAAUGAAACCUGGGGCUCCCACCAGCCCGAACCUUUCUCCCUCUCCUGGAUUCUCCCUCUGCAUUACAGUCCCCACAUCUGGAAUCAGCUCCCCGUGGAAUCCCCUAAGCUGACCGGUCACCAAUAGGAAAAGCAAAUGCAAUACCCGUCUCCCGCCCACGGCACUUUCCUGACAUUCUGUAUCUAAGCAAACCUGUCCCCUGCUUGGCUGCUUUUCUUACCCUGCGUUUGUAAAGGCU